RNAcentral lists this ribosomal RNA (4365 nucleotides) under Triticum aestivum (bread wheat). RNAcentral describes it as "partial small subunit ribosomal RNA". The record is from RNAcentral. Lineage: Eukaryota; Viridiplantae; Streptophyta; Magnoliopsida; Poales; Poaceae.
AUGGAGGUGGGGUGGGCGUUCAAGAAGAAAGGGGAAGAGUGGAGGUCGGCGCUGCAGGAAAGCGGGGCAGAGCACAGUUAUUCUCUGGCCGUGGAGUAUUCUGGGCAGGUUACUUCCCUUGUGGAUCUAGCGGAUCUGGAAGAAGGGUUGACCAACAGAAGCAUCUACGAUUCUAGAUUUUCUUCCACUUCCUUCCCAACAGAGGAGGAGGUGCUUGGGCAGCAUGGAAGUGUCUUCUUCGAUUCAACCAAAGGUUUAUGGGAGUGUCGGCACUGCGAUUGGACACACCGAUUGAUUAGUCCGUGCAGAAAUGUCGAUUUCCCAUAUUAUCAAAGGUGCGGCCAAGUUACGAUGGAGGCCCCCUUUGGCAUGGGAUCCCUUCUUGGGAAGCUCGGUAUGCUGCUAGCUCCUCAGGGGUGUAGGCUGCCGAGCCGGGUUAAGGACAGAAUGCACCUCCUCAAAGAAGAUGUUGAAGAUUUAAGCGAGUACCUUGCUGAAAUGGCAGAGGCAGAGGACCUUCCCCUGACGGCCAAGCGCUGGAUGAAAGAGGCGCGAGAGCUGGCCUAUGACAUCGAGGAUAACAUGGACAUGUGUGUGCAGCCUGCCCGUGCCAGCAUCAAUACUACCAGGUUCAUCUGCAAAAUUGGCCGCCAUGUUAAGAUCCCCAAAAGGCUCUUCUCCAAAAGAAGGCUUCCCAAGGGACUCAAGUGGCACAAACAGAUUGCCUACAUAGCUCAAGUGCCAGCAGAACAUAGUGGGAAGAUCAGAUCAGCCUGCAAAGCCAUUCGUGUUGUCAUCAUUCGUCUUCCCAAGAGGCUCAAGUGGUACAAGCAUAUCAUGGAACUCAUAUCAGAUUUCAGGAUGUACAUCCAAGAAGCGAUUGAACGGCAUGAGAGGUAUGAGCUCCACCGCUGCAGCACCUUCAGGCGUAGAUUUUUACCCGCCGAUCGCACGCUUCUGACUGCGUACGGAGGAAUUGCUGACAUGGUAAUUGAUGAUCGGGUGAGCGAGUUCAUCGACUCAUUGGAUAAUGAUGGGGAUCAACAGCUCAAGGUGGUAUCCGUUCUUGGACCUGGAUGUCUUGGUAAAACUGCACUUGCACAAGUGUUGUACAACAAAUUUGGGGGGCAAUUUGAUUGUACAGCUUUUGUCCGGGUGUCCAAAAGGCCUGAUGUGGUGAGACUUCUCCGCGAGAUGCUCAUGCAAGUCCAGGGGCAGCAACCCACUGAGUAUUCCGAGGAACUUGACCUUGCUUACAGUAUCAGGGAACAUCUACAAGAUAAAAGGUACUUAAUUAUUAUUGAUGAUAUAUGGACUGCAUCAGCAUGGGAUAUUAUUAGUGAUGCUUUUCCAAAAGGUAAUCAUGGUAGCAGAGUUAUAACAACUACACAAAUGGAAGAGGUUGCAUUAACAUGUUGUUGUUAUCACUCGGAGCAUAUUUUUGAGAUGAGGCCUCUGGAUCAUGAUCACUCAAGAAAGCUGUUCUUUAGCAUACUUUUUGGCUCUGAAAGUGACUGUCCUAAAGAACUCAAAGAAGUUACAAACAAAAUUUUUGAAUUAUGUGGUGGUUUGCCGCUAGCAACAAUCAGCAUAGCUAGUCUAUUAUCAAGCCAGCCUGUUAUAAAAAUGGAUCUUUUGACGCACCUCUGUGAUUCGUUAAGCUCCUGUUUGUGGAUAUCUCCUUCAGAAGGAACAAGACAAGCAUUGAACCUCAGCUACAAUAAUCUUCCUCACUAUUUGAAGAUAUGCCUGCUGUGUCUGAAUAUGUAUCCAGAGGGCCACACAAUCUGGAAGGACGAUUUGGUGAAGCAAUGGGUCGCUGAAGGUUUCAUCCAUACAACAGAAGGGCAAGACAUGGAGAAAGUUGCAGCAAGCUAUUUCAAUGAACUUAUUAAUAGAAGAUUCAUCCAAACUCUAUGUAGCAAGUACAACAAUGAGGUGUUGUCCUGUACUGUUCAUGAUGUGGUACAUGAUCUUAUUGCAGACAAGUGUUCAGAAGAAAAUUUCAAUAUGGUAAUAGAUUCUAGUCGAAGGAAUGUGGCACUUCCUCAAAAGGUUCGACGACUAUCUCUCCUCUUUGGUGAUGCAAAAUAUGUGAAGACACCAGCAAACAUGAGAAGGUCACAAGUUCGGUCGCUUACCAUUUUUGGAUUAUUUGAGAGUAUGCCUUCUAUUUCAGAGUUUAAGCUUCUUCGCGUGCUAAACCUUCAAUUAUCCAGUUAUGGUGAUAGGAACGCCAUAAACCUCACUGGCAUUUCAGAUCUGUUCCAACUGAGAUAUUUAAAAAUUGCAUGUGAUAUCUGCAUACAAUUACCAAACCAUAUGCUAGGGCUACAAUGUUUGGAAACACUAGUUCUGGAUAGUGAAGUUAUUGCUGUUCCAUGGGAUAUUAUUCAUCUCCCAAGCUUGUUGCACCUGAGUCUGCUUGUUAUGACAAAUCUGUUGGAUUGGAUUGGCAGCAUGAGGUUAAUUGGCAAGCUGAACAACCUGCGAGAUCUUCAUCUGACCUAUUCUGUACCGUCUUCAGACCAUCUGAAGAGAAGCAUGGAAGCUCUGGGCUCUCAACUCUCAGGACAUGCCAACCUAAAAACUCUAGCUCUGGUUAAUGGCCCCUGCCAUAAAAAUGCUUUUGUUUGCGAUGCUUUAAAAGUGACAGUCUCCUGGGAGGGCUUAGUACCUCCCCCAGUUCUUGAGGUGUUUGAGUGGUCGCUACACAGCUGUGUAUUAUCCCGUAUUCCAAAGUGGAUCGGAGAACUUGGCAAGCUCCGCAUCUUGAAGAUUGCAGUAAGGGAUCUUCCAAGGGAUGGUAUUGAUGCUGUCAGAGGUUUGCCUGCCCUCACUGCUCUGUCGUUGUAUUUGCAGACGGCUACUGUUGAAAGGAUUGUCUUUGACAAGGUGGGGUUCUCAGUCCUCAACUACUUCAAUCUCAGGUGCAGUGUACCUUGCCUGAAAUUUGAAGCGAACGCAAUGCCUAAUCUUCGGAAGCUCAAGCUAGGUUUUAAUGCCCCCAGAGCCCGCAUGGACCAGCAUGGUGCUGGUACGGCUAUCAGCAUCGACCACUUGCCAAGCCUUAAAGAGAUCUGUGCAAAAAUCGGAGGUGCAUGUGCUGAUACAGAGUCUGCCUUAGCAACUGCCAUUAGCAAUCAUCCGAGCAAUCCUAUGAUCAAUGUGCAAUUGGUGGAUUAUACUUUUGAGGGUGAUGAGCUUACACAUGAACAAGAUGAGGUCCUGGUGGAAGGCCAAGAUGGAUACUUGAAGAAGCUACUGAUAUCUUGUGCUAGAGCUGUGGAAGCAAAGGACAUGUCCGCGGUAGACAUGAUGGUGCCAGAGUUGAGGAAAAUGGUUUCAGUAUCUGGUGACCCACAUCAGAGACUUGGAGCCUACAUUGUGGAAGGACUUGUUGCCAGGCUUGCCUCCUCCGGCCACUCGAUCUACAAAGCUCUGAAGUGCAAAGAGCCAAGGAGUUCUGACCUCAUGUCCUACAUGCAUUUCCUGUAUGAGGCCUGCCCUUACUUCAAGUUUGGCUACAUGUCGGCAAACGGUGCAAUUGCAGAGGCUGUAAAGGGUGAAGAUAUGAUCCAUAUAAUCGACUUUGGUAUCUCUCAAGGAGCUCAAUGGAUUUCUCUCCUUCAGGCUCUUGCGACCAGGCCCGGUGGACCACCAACUGUAAGGAUCACAGGAAUUGAUGAUUCACUAUCAGCCUAUGCGCGAGGUGGUGGGCUCGAUUUAGUCGGGAGGAGGCUGUCACACAUCGCUGGUCUGUGCAAGGUUCCCUUUGAAUUCCAUUCGGUUGCUGUCGCUGGUGAUGAAGUGGAAGAGGGGCAUCUCAUGGUCAUCCCUGGGGAAGCUCUCGCAGUGAACUUCACCCUGGAGCUGCACCACAUUCCGGAUGAGGCUGUGAGCACGGCAAACCACCGAGACCGGAUCCUAAGGCUGGUGAAAAGCUUGUCUCCCAAGGUGGUAACCCUUGUGGAGCAGGAGCUCAACACGAACACGGUCCCCUUCAAGCAGAGGUUUGCAGAGACGCUUCACUACUACACUGCCAUAUUCGAGUCCAUCGACCUGACGCUACCAAGGGACGACGAGAGGAUCAACAUGGAGCAGCACUGCCUGGCGAGGGAGAUUGUGAACAUCGUUGCCUGCGAGGGUGCGGAGAGGGUGGAGCGGCACGAGGUCUUCGGCAAGUGGAAGGGGCGCCUCACGAUGGUCGGCUUUAGGCCCCGGCCGCUCAGCUCGCUGGUGAACGCCAGCAUCAGGACGCUGCUGCAGAGCUACUCGGCAAACUACCAGCUUGCGGAGAAGGACGGGGUGCUAUACCUCGGAUGGAAGAAUAAGCCCCUGGUGGUUUCGUCCGCAUGGCACUAG